AUGGCCGUCCAAAAAGGAAAUGUAGCCAUUGGUGUCAUCUACCGACCACAGGUUAAAGAUUGGCGAUCCGUUGGAUACCGACAGAGUUAUAGGCAAAACUUGGUGCAAAAAUGAGGAAAAUUUUACAUUUUCUCAAACAGGGUAUGGAACUUGGUUCCUCGAAUAACUUCUGGCACAGACAUCUGAGGGCAUGGCCGUCCAAGAAGAAAAUGUAGCCAUUGGUGUCAUCUAUCGACCACAGGUUAAAGAUUGGCGAUCCGUUGGAUACCGACCGAGUUAUAGGCAAAACUUGGUGCAAAAAUGAGGAAAAUUUUACAUUUUCUCAAACAGGUUGUGGAACUUGAUUCCUCGAAUAACUUCUGACACAGAGAUCUGAGGCCAUGGCCGUCCAAGAAGAAAAUGUAGCCAUUGGUGUCAUCUACCGACCACGGGUUAAAGAUUGGCGAUCCGUUGGAUACCGACCGAGUUAUAGGCAAAACUUGGUGCAAAAAUGAGGAAAAUUUUACAUUUUCUCAAACAGGGUAUGGAACUUGGUUCCUCGAAUAACUUCCGACACAGACAUCUGAGGGCAUGGCCGUCCAAGAAGAAAAUGUAGCCAUUGGUGUCAUCUAUCGACCACAGGUUAAAGAUUGGCGAUUUGUUGAAUACCGACAGAGUUAAAGGCAAAAAGAAAUUUUCAAAUUUUUAUGAUUUUUUAAUCUUUAUAUAUUAAAUUUUUGUGUCGCGGUGUUAGUGUGCAAACUCCUCUUAAACGGCUCAAUUGGCCAAUGUUAUGAGUUCUUUUCUGUUUUUCC
Anopheles funestus (African malaria mosquito) is the source of this 794-nucleotide long non-coding RNA. RefSeq lists it as uncharacterized. The transcript is spliced from 4 exons. The record is from RefSeq and is a predicted model, not a curated record. NCBI's taxonomy places the organism in Eukaryota, Metazoa, Arthropoda, Insecta, Diptera, Culicidae.